UACGUAGGGGGCUAGCGUUGUCCGGAUUUAUUGGGCGUAAAGAGCGUGUAGGCGGCCAUGUAGGUCCGGUGUGAAAACUCGAGGCUUAACCUCGAGAUGUCAUCGGAAACCAUUUGGCUAGAGUCCGGAAGAGGAGAGUGGAAUUCCUGGUGUAGCGGUGAAAUGCGCAGAUAUCAGGAAGAACACCAAUGGCGAAAGCAGCUCUCUGGGACGGUACUGACGCUGAGGAGCGAAAGCGUGGGUAGCGAACAGG
Molecule: ribosomal RNA, 253 nt
Filed under: uncultured bacterium
Lineage: Bacteria
Description: partial 16S ribosomal RNA
Rfam family: Bacterial small subunit ribosomal RNA
Source: RNAcentral